Molecule: ribosomal RNA, 409 nt
Filed under: Sepioteuthis lessoniana
Lineage: Eukaryota; Metazoa; Mollusca; Cephalopoda; Myopsida; Loliginidae
Description: partial 12S rRNA
Source: RNAcentral
AUACCAAUACUUUAAAUUUAUAUAGGUGUAGUAUAAAAUAAAGUAAUAAUAUUAAGGUUAGGAUCAAUAAGGAUAAUAAUUGUAAGUAAAAUUUAAUUGUUAUAAUUGAUUAUAUGAUCCUAAUAGUUAGAAUCUUUGAAAAUAAGAAGAAAAACUAGGAUUAGAGACCCUACUAUUCUUUAUUUUAAAAAUUUAUUUACUUGAGGAGUAAGAGUGAAUAGAAUAUAAAUUAUCUAUACUUGAAACUUAAAAGGCUUGGCGGUGUUAUAUAUCCUUCCAGGGGAGCUUGCUUAUUAAUUUGAUAAUCCUCAAUUUAUACUUACUUUUUUUAGAUAAACAGUUUGUGUAUUGCUGUCGUCAGUUUAUUUUGUAAAAAGAUUAGAAAAAACUUCAUAAUGAUUAGAUUAUG